Molecule: long non-coding RNA, 250 nt
Filed under: Olea europaea (common olive)
Lineage: Eukaryota; Viridiplantae; Streptophyta; Magnoliopsida; Lamiales; Oleaceae
Description: long non-coding RNA (OEUR_LNC012548)
Source: RNAcentral
UGAAGGAAGUCAGCCAGUUCGCCCUCAAGAAUCUCGUCCUGCUUAUCAGCCACAGCGGGAUAGUUCCAGCUCAAGUAUUAAGUGCUUUAGGUGUGGUGAACAGGGGCAUAGGGCGACUGAUUGCAGGAAGCCUGCUGGUCAGAAGAAUAAAAAUCUUCUGAUUGAGGAGGAUAUGAUAGAGGAGUUUGAGGAAGUUGGGGAACCCGUGUAUGAUGAGGGUGAAGAUGAGGACGUGCUAUAUGGAGAUGGU